RNAcentral lists this ribosomal RNA (490 nucleotides) under uncultured bacterium. Its description in RNAcentral is "partial 16S ribosomal RNA". It matches the Rfam family "Bacterial small subunit ribosomal RNA", at positions 30 to 507 of the family's 1533-position model. The record is from RNAcentral.
AUUGAACGCUGGCGGCAUGCCUUACACAUGCAAGUCGAACGGCAGCAUGAUCUAGCUUGCUAGAUUGAUGGCGAGUGGCGAACGGGUGAGUAAUACAUCGGAACGUGCCCUGUAGUGGGGGAUAACUAGUGGAAAGAUUAGCUAAUACCGCAUACGACCUGAGGGGGAAAGUGGGGGACCGCAAGGCCCCAUGCUAUAGGAGCGGCCGAUGUCUGAUUAGCUAGUUGGUGAGGUAAAGGCUCACCAAGGCAACGAUCAGUAGCUGAUCUGAGAGGACGAUCAGCCACACUGGAACUGAGACACGGCCCAGACUCCUACGGGAGGCAGCAGUGGGGAAUUUUGGGCAAUGGGCGAAAGCCUGACCCAGCAAUGCCGCGUGUGUGAAGAAGGCCUUCGGGUUGUAAAACACUUUUGUCCGGAAAGAAAUGGCUCUGGUUAAUACCUGGAGUCGAUGACGGUACCGGAAGAAUAAGGACCGGCUAACUACGUG